This 492-nucleotide ribosomal RNA is filed under the name uncultured bacterium. RNAcentral's name for it is "partial 16S ribosomal RNA". It matches the Rfam family "Bacterial small subunit ribosomal RNA", at positions 29 to 507 of the family's 1533-position model. The record is from RNAcentral.
AGUGAACGCUGGCGGUAGGCCUAACACAUGCAAGUCGAACGGCAGCACAGCAAGAGCUUGCUCUUACGGGUGGCGAGUGGCGGACGGGUGAGGAAUACAUCGGAAUCUACUUUUUCGUGGGGGAUAACGUAGGGAAACUUACGCUAAUACCGCAUACGACCUACGGGUGAAAGCAGGGGAUCUUCGGACCUUGCGCGGUUGAAUGAGCCGAUGUCGGAUUAGCUAGUUGGCGGGGUAAAGGCCCACCAAGGCGACGAUCCGUAGCUGGUCUGAGAGGAUGAUCAGCCACACUGGAACUGAGACACGGUCCAGACUCCUACGGGAGGCAGCAGUGGGGAAUAUUGGACAAUGGGCGCAAGCCUGAUCCAGCCAUACCGCGUGGGUGAAGAAGGCCUUCGGGUUGUAAAGCCCUUUUGUUGGGAAAGAAAAGCAGCAGGUUAAUACCCCGCUGUUCUGACGGUACCCAAAGAAUAAGCACCGGCUAACUUCGUG